This 335-nucleotide RNase P RNA is filed under the name bovine gut metagenome. RNAcentral's name for it is "Bacterial RNase P class A". It matches the Rfam family "Bacterial RNase P class A". Rfam says of the family: Ribonuclease P (RNase P) is a ubiquitous endoribonuclease, found in archaea, bacteria and eukarya as well as chloroplasts and mitochondria. Its best characterised activity is the generation of mature 5'-ends of tRNAs by cleaving the 5'-leader elements of precursor-tRNAs. The record is from RNAcentral.
AGCAGGCUUGACGGUCGCGGGCGGCAACGAAAGGACCCGUCUGAGGAAAGUCCGGGCUCCGCAGGGCAAGGGUGCCGGGUAAUACCCGGUGAAGGCGACUUCCAGGAAAGUGCAACAGAAAACAACCGCCCGUUUUUCGGGUAAGGAUGAAAAGGCGAGGUAAGAGCUCACCGGCAAUGCGGUAACGUAUUGGCCGUGUAAACCCCACCCGGAGCAACACCGUUAUGGGCCAUAUGGCUUGCCCGGCCGGCCUGAGGUGGCUGUGAUCCCGGCAGUAAUGCCGGGGCUAGAUAGAUGACCGUCCAUAAAGACAGAACCCGGCUUAUUGCCUGCUU